UACGAAGGGGGCUAGCGUUGCUCGGAAUCACUGGGCGUAAAGGGCGCGUAGGCGGCCAGCACAAGUCAGUUGUGAAAUCUCCGAGCUUAACUCGGAACGGUCAACUGAUACUGUGCGGCUAGAGUGCGGAAGGGGCAACUGGAAUUCUUGGUGUAGCGGUGAAAUGCGUAGAUAUCAAGAGGAACACCUGCGGCGAAGGCGGGUUGCUGGGCCGACACUGACGCUGAGGCGCGAAAGCCAGGGGAGCGAACGGG
Molecule: ribosomal RNA, 254 nt
Filed under: uncultured bacterium
Lineage: Bacteria
Description: partial 16S ribosomal RNA
Rfam family: Bacterial small subunit ribosomal RNA
Source: RNAcentral